RNAcentral lists this ribosomal RNA (253 nucleotides) under uncultured bacterium. RNAcentral describes it as "partial 16S ribosomal RNA". It matches the Rfam family "Bacterial small subunit ribosomal RNA", at positions 524 to 776 of the family's 1533-position model. The record is from RNAcentral.
UCCAGAGGUCCCAAUCGUUACCGAGAUUCACUGGGUUUAAAGGGUGCGUAGGUGGUGCGUUAAGUCAGUUGUGAAAUCCCCGGGCUCAACCCGGGAAUAGCUUCUGAUACUGGCGUGCUUGAGGCCGGUAUAGGUUACUGGAACGGACGGUGGAGCGGUGAAAUGCGUAGAUAUCGUCUGGAACGCCAGUGGUGAAGACGGGUAACUAGGCCGGUUCUGACACUGAGGCACGAAAGCGUGGGGAGCGAACGGG